Molecule: ribosomal RNA, 440 nt
Filed under: uncultured bacterium
Lineage: Bacteria
Description: partial 16S ribosomal RNA
Rfam family: Bacterial small subunit ribosomal RNA
Source: RNAcentral
CCUACGGGUGGCAGCAGUGGGGAAUAUUGCACAAUGGGGGAAACCCUGAUGCAGCGACGCCGCGUGAAGGAAGAAGUAUUUCGGUAUGUAAACUUCUAUCAGCAGGGAAGAAAAUGCCGGUACCUGACUCAGAAGCCCCGGCCAACUACGUGCCAGCAGCCGCGGUAAUACGUAGGGGGCAAGCGUAAUCCGGAUUUACUGGGUGUAAAGGGAGCGUAGGCGGUUUAGCAAGUCAGAAGUGAAAGCCCGGGGCUCAAACCCGGGACUGCUGUUGAAACUGUUGAACUUGAUUGGAGGAGAGGUAAGUGGAAUGCCUAGUGUAGCGGUGAAAUGCGUAGAUAUUAGGAGGAACACCAGUGGCGAAGGCAGCUUACUGGACGGGAAAUGACGCUGAGGCUCGAAAGCGUGGGUAGCAAACAGGAUUAGAUACCCGUGUAGUC